Catharus ustulatus (Swainson's thrush) is the source of this 4501-nucleotide long non-coding RNA. RefSeq lists it as uncharacterized. NCBI's taxonomy places the organism in Eukaryota, Metazoa, Chordata, Aves, Passeriformes, Turdidae. The transcript is spliced from 2 exons. The record is from RefSeq and is a predicted model, not a curated record.
UGGGAAACCAGCCUGGAUCUCUUGAAGGGUUUAUGAUUCAGUCCCACUUCAUGAGUUUUUUCCCUCUACUUGUGUGUGUCUUAGUCAUUUCUACACUUCUGAAAGUGCUCUACAUUCCAAGCUGAUCUGCCAAAAGCAUCUCUAAAAUCCACGCUAAUUAUAUGGAUGGGUUUGGUGACCACAGCUUCAAUUUCAAAUGGCAAUAUGCAGAUCUUGAGUAUUUUCUGUUCUAUAUCAGAACUGUAUGAUUUUGGAAUAUCUCAAUUUGAGCUUCAGUAGCAUACAGGAUUUGUCUUUUAAUAACUUAGUGUAGGAGAACUGCAGUACCCCAGCCGUCUGCUUUAUGCUGAACUCUCUGAAGCAGCCAAUUUUGUCUUCCAGAACGUGGCUGCUGCACAUGCUGGGUGCUGAUUGCAAGUAUUAUCUUAAGAUAAUCACUUCUUAAUAUUUAAGAACACGACUCUUCUUUCAAAGGCAUGCUUUUGGGCUUUUAUACCCCUGCUGGUUUCAUCUCACCAGGAGCUACCUGUCGAAUCCUUCAGUUCCACAGCUGUCUUUGCUGCUGCAUUGUGUUUAUAAAAAAAAUUGGAGGGAAGAAGAGGACUAUUAAAAAAAAAAACCCUACAGCUUCUUAAGAAGCAAAGAAAGUAGCCUGGCAAGGAAAAGAGACCUGUGCCAUAGUGCAACCAGAGUCUGAGAAGGGCCUGAAACCAAGAUUCAAAGCCUUUGGGCACCCUAAUCUGCUUUACAGAGAGCUCAUGAAAAUUGAAUGCAGAUAGCAGCCCUGCAAGAAAAAGUGUGACCAGAAUAUUUCUGCCAGGCAUUUUUCCUUGCCUACCAACCUUUUGUGUUAGCAGGUAUGACAGGAAAGUUCAGUAAUGGGUGUGCUUUACAGGCAUUAUAAGAGGUCUUGGAGAUCUGGGGGGUUUAUGUGCUCACAACCUGAACUCACCUCACGCUCCUGAGUACCUGCUGCUGUACCAAACUAAAUCCUUCAUAAGCCUGAUCUUCUUUCUUCACUUGUGUUCCUUAUAAUACACUAUGAAUCACCAUAAUCUCUGCUCUGUAACAACACCACAGAACUGCUAUUUCACUCAAUUAAUAUCAUUGUAAACUAUUAUAAAUUAAAUAACUGUCAACUUCCAAAGUACUUCUCUAGUGAUGCUCCCAUGUUCCCGUAUUUUCUUCUCAUUGAAAAUUAAAAAGUAGUUUAGAUUACCUUUUAUUUCUAAAUUAACCCUUCUGUCUGUCAAGCACAGGCCAUGGAAAUUUUUAGGAUCCUAAAAUUGCAACUGAACCUUAACAUCAAAACUGUGAAUCCAAUUAGCUGCAUGAAAGAAGCAGACAAAAUAUUUCCAGUGAGAUAAGGUUUGUGCACAGAGGUAAUAUGUUUUCUUAGACCUAUUGCUGUAGCUGCAAAAUAUUUCUACUGAUUUUAAAAUGUACUCCUCUUUAUAGCUGCCUGGUCAAGGUAUUUAAAAAAUGAAUGCAGGAAAUAAAAAUAUAUAUUUGAAAAUUGAAAAUACAUUUAAAUAAGGAGGAGAGAAAUUUAAGUAAAUGUAAAUAAGAUGCAGAGAAAUGUUAUUUAAAAUACUGCUACUGUUACUUUUGCUUCCUGUUUUAUCUCUGGUUCUUAAUUAAUGUUAAAGAUGGUCAUAUAUAGCUCUCACACAGCAGUAGCAGCACAGUCUGCUCAGAGAUCAAGAAAUCAUGCUCUGUAUUGUAGCCUGAUCUUUCAUGGUUUAUACAAAUCUUUUUAACUGAGCUAUACUCAAGUGAUUAAUGCAUUAUCCUUCCCUUCACAGUGGCUGCUGCUGUAACAUAUGGUUUACCUUUUUUGUGCUAUAAAUAUUUGCUUUCUGAUUGCCCUGAAGAUUUCAGAAUACAUUCAGCACUGCAUGGCAAAAUACUAUUUUACCCAACAUGAAAUAUUUUUUUGUUUAGAGUCAAUAGUUCACUUGCAUAUAGGUGUUUGACAUCCUGAGGGAGCAAAACAUGGAAAUAAGCUAUAUUUGUGAGGUUUUCCAUUGCUUUUCUCUUACCUUCUCUGUGGCUGAUAAAUGUAGUGAAAUUUUUGCAUUGCAUUGCUUCCUCUAGCUUGUAAUUUAACCGAAGAGUUUUACCAAUACUGCUAUUUGUUUCUAUUGCCUGACUUUUUCUGGUAGUUCUAAAUCUGCUUCUCAUCAUUUCUGUAUUGCUACAGCAUAGAUGAUGGUUUAAUUCUGCUUGUAUUUCACAUCUGCCAAAAGAAUCCUCCAUACCAAUGUAUAGACAGGAGCAUAUAGAUUUCUUCAACCUUAAAAGUGAGUGAAGGAUAGAGUAACAAUUGUUGAUAGGCUUCAUUUUUCUUCCUGUUUAUUCAGGUGUAUAAUUUUUCAGCUAAUUCAAGUAAGUUUUCUUCUCAAGAUUAUGUCUAAAUGGACAGAAAAAUUAUGGGGAAAUUAAAGUUGCUAUGGUGUAUUUAAUCCAUAACCAGAACUGGUUGGAAACAAGCCCCCAAAUUGUUUUUUAUUUCUACCAAGCUUAAAGUUUGUCACUUUCCUGUUGUGUUUUCGCUUGCUUGUCAUUUUUAAAUUUGACUCUCCCAAAAAAGUCAACUAAACUGUGAGAAAGUUCACAAAAAUGGACAAAGGAAAUUAAUAAUAAUCACACAUGGAUUUUUUUUUCUCUGAGCAAUACUUUAUCAAGUGUUAAAAAAAAAAUCCUUGAAUUUGCAAGAACUUUAUUAUGAGAGCCACCUUCUCCCUCAUGGCACAGUUACACCUCAGGCACAGUCAUGCUCACAAAUUGCACAUGCUGAGUUUUGCAGUCCACUAGAAAUAGAAGUGCCAGACUGGCCAGGGAGGAAUUCCUCUACUUUAGCAGCCAUUUUGUACCCAGUUUUAGGGAAAUGUUAUAUAAUUCAAGCUGACAAUUAAAAACAUUCCUCCCUUUCUAUUUUAACUUGUGAGCCUUCUCGUUUUUUCUAUUAUCUUAAUAAGAAAUUAAAAGUCAUUAGUUGAAUUUAGUGUCAACCUCCAUUAUUGGUAUAUAUGUAACUUCUGUUACAAUGUGUGAUUGUGUUUCUGUCAAUGAAGUCACAGAUUGCUCUUAGCUAGAAAGAUAAUCAGCAAACUUUAUGAGUGGAAUAGCAAUAACUUUAUGAGUGGGACUGGAGCAACUAAGAAAGCAGAAACUCUCAGGGGAGGAAUGCAAAAAAGACAUUACUGAGUUGAUUCCUGGACCUAAAGCCUCCCCUAAGGAAAGUGCUUCAUCUGCAAUCAUCAGCACUGAAUAGGCUUUCUUAUAAGGCACAUUUCAGGUUCUGAGGGGAGCUUAUUUAUUAGAGGCUUUUGUAGUCAGACAACCAAUCAGAGAGAAGGAGUUUCACCUACAGUUACAUCUCUGCUGGUAAAUGAAACAGGUUCAGGCUACAGUUCUUGGCACAGGCACUGAACUGUUGGGUUGUUAGAACAAUCAUGUUUUGGACUGGACAAACUCCCUCUAUCCCAGUUCUCAAGCAUGUUCUGGAAGCUGGCAUAGGUUUGUGCAUAUUCUCAACUAGAACUCUUCAUGGGAAUAUGCUAUUUUGGGAGUUGAGACAGUCCAGAGGCAGAAAUCAAAAUAAUGCUGAGCCAUUUCUUCUUUAUAGCAGAAAGUUGUUCUAUAAAAGUUUAAUUACAUGUGCUUACAUUCACAUAGUUUACAGGGCUGAUUCUAAGUGAUAAAAAUAAAAGAUAAAAAGACCAUAAUCUCUUUUUAGUCUUAGAAUUGGUACAAUAAGGGGACAUAACCUCUUGAAAUCAGAUCUUAAGUAGUGACCGAGUUUUGCUCAAAUGUGGAAGAAAUUCUGAUAUUUCACAGUCAGGCUAGUAGAUGAUCAACAUAGAAAUAUUGAUAAAAGGGUGUUUUAAAGCCUAUAUUUAAUCUUUCUUCAAUUUUAAAGACCAGAACUUAAGUGAAGUAGUCAGAAUUGCUUGUGCUAUUUGUUAUUCUGUGCCACAGCAUUGACAGUCUCAAUGACAAAGUGGAUAUUUAAUGGUUAUGAGGAGUAAAAUGGGACAACAGAGUUAAGAUUAUUUCAGUGAAGAUUAUGGAGUAUUAUGGAGUGACAAUGUCUGGUUACUGAAAUGUCAGAUUCCUUGUCUAGCCUUAGGCUGUACAUGAAGCAAAACCUACAUUAGUAAAGAUAGAAAUCUAAUGUUCUUGUGUUCUCUAGGGUUUUUGGUUUGUUUUUUUUUUUUUUUUUUUUUGCAUAGUACCUCAAAAGUUUUGGAUGAACCACAAAAGCAGGAAAAGUGUUUUUUUCUUAAAGGCUCUGUGACUUUGCAGUGGAGAAGACUUUAAGACUGAGACAACAUGAACCUUUGUAUCAUAGAUUUUUUUACUGUGGAAUUUGUGGACAUUUUUUCAUGUUUGCAUGCAUGGGAGUAUUAGUAUAUGUAUAAAAGCACCUAUAAAAUUAUGUUGUAAUUCUUUAAAUUCAUAUACAUCAAAUAAAUCCAACUGAAUUCCACAUAAA